This 495-nucleotide ribosomal RNA is filed under the name uncultured bacterium. RNAcentral's name for it is "bacterial SSU rRNA". It matches the Rfam family "Bacterial small subunit ribosomal RNA", at positions 29 to 524 of the family's 1533-position model. The record is from RNAcentral.
AAUGAACGUUGGCGGCGUGGAUUAGGCAUGCAAGUCGAACGAGAACCCCGCAAGGGGUGAAAGUGGCAAACGGCGUAGUAAGGCGUAGGUGACGUACCUCCCGAUUCAGGAUAGCUACGGGAAACUGUAGGUAAUACUGGAUAACCCCUCCGAGAUUGAAAAUCGGAGUGCAAAGGUGUGAUUCCGUCAGGAGAGCGGCUUACGUGGUAUUAGCUAGUUGGUGAGGUAAUGGCUCACCAAGGCUUCGAUGCCUAGGGGUGUUAGCGCAUGACCCCCACGACUGGGACUGAGAUACUGCCCAGACACCUACGGGUGGCUGCAGUCGAGGAUCUUCGGCAAUGGGCGCAAGCCUGACCGAGCGACGCCGCGUGUGGGAUGAAGGCCCUUGGGUUGUAAACCACUGUCAGAGGGGAUGAAAUGCGGGUGGGUUCUCCCAUCCGUUUGACAUAGCCUCAGAGAAGCACGGGCUAAGUUCGUGCCAGCAGCCGCGGUAAU